RNAcentral lists this ribosomal RNA (261 nucleotides) under uncultured eukaryote. Its description in RNAcentral is "partial 18S ribosomal RNA". The record is from RNAcentral.
CAAGAUGAAGUAGAAAAGUGCAGAUUUUAUCUGCUAUCGGAAACAGUUUUGUUGCAGCAGAUCUGUGACUGCCCAGUCCAAGAUUAUGAAGAAAGCCAGGGUUCAAAUGUUAGCCUGAACAGAUGUCGGAUUAUUAUCAUGAAUGAGGAAAUUAAAACCACUUACAUUUUGCCCUAGACAGAAGAUCUGAUUGCCUGCCCAGCCCAAGAUGAAGUAGAAAAGGGCAGAUUUUAUCUGCUAUCGGAAACAGUUUUGUUGCAG